AUGAAACACCGAAGCAUGACAGCGAGAAAACUUCAAGAGGAAAACCCGCCUAGUGGAGAUGAACACGCCCUCAUCCACUCCGAAAGGAGACCGCCAUCAUUGAACCUUCCCUCUCCAAUUCCGAAGGGGACCCCUGCCCCUCACCCUGGAUCGAAGGGCGCCGGACCGUCGGCAAUUGGAGCAACUCACCCUAGAGUAAGGAACGGUAUAUAUUUUGGAGCACCUUGGGAGAUUCUCCGCCUGACCAACCCACUGAGCAAAGAUCACCAGGAGAAGAGCCCAACCGCAGCUCACUGGGUCAUACACGAAGAAACGAAGCUGCUGAAGGACGAGGACGCCGAUGGAACAAAUAGCAGAGUUGAUAAGCGACCGUAG
This 375-nucleotide ribosomal RNA is filed under the name Triticum aestivum (bread wheat). RNAcentral's name for it is "partial small subunit ribosomal RNA". The record is from RNAcentral. Lineage: Eukaryota; Viridiplantae; Streptophyta; Magnoliopsida; Poales; Poaceae.